CGAGCGGUAGCACAGAGAGCUUGCUCUCGGGUGACGAGCGGCGGACGGGUGAGUAAUGUCUGGGAAACUGCCUGAUGGAGGGGGAUAACUACUGGAAACGGUAGCUAAUACCGCAUAACGUCGCAAGACCAAAGUGGGGGACCUUCGGGCCUCAUGCCAUCAGAUGUGCCCAGAUGGGAUUAGCUAGUAGGUGGGGUAAUGGCUCACCUAGGCGACGAUCCCUAGCUGGUCUGAGAGGAUGACCAGCCACACUGGAACUGAGACACGGUCCAGACUCCUACGGGAGGCAGCAGUGGGGAAUAUUGCACAAUGGGCGCAAGCCUGAUGCAGCCAUGCCGCGUGUAUGAAGAAGGCCUUCGGGUUGUAAAGUACUUUCAGCGAGGA
RNAcentral lists this ribosomal RNA (384 nucleotides) under Klebsiella aerogenes. Its description in RNAcentral is "bacterial SSU rRNA". It matches the Rfam family "Bacterial small subunit ribosomal RNA", at positions 63 to 445 of the family's 1533-position model. The record is from RNAcentral. Lineage: Bacteria; Pseudomonadati; Pseudomonadota; Gammaproteobacteria; Enterobacterales; Enterobacteriaceae.